AUAAUAAUGAAGGGUGAGAUUGAGAGAAAAACACAAGGAAACGACGCGACCACACCAAAUUGGUCGCUACAUAAAGUGGCACAUUUCAUCGUUACGUAACGACGGAUUUAACGAUACGAUACAAUAAAAUUUAAGUAACAAUCAAAACAAACAUUGUAUUUAAAGUAACAAUGCGAUAUGAUACAAUAGGUGACAACGAUCCAAACAAGUUGUUAAUAAAACAUGGCAGAAUGGCCUAUAUGACACCUAUACUUGUACCAUUUUGUCAUGCCGGUCCCCAAACUCAACAAUUUGCCAACCAAACCCUUAAUACUCCUUUAAACCAUGUAUAAUAAAUGCUUAUGACAGGAGGCUGUCAGUGCGUAUAACACUAUCUCUUCCACGUUGGCUGCCACGUCAAAAAGUAACAAUGUGCAUGUCCUGCGCCGUCCUGACUCGUGCCAUGACCAUGUCCCGCGACGUCCUGACUUGUCCUGACUCGUGCCAUGGCCAUGUACUGCGACGUCCUGGCACGUCCUGACUCGUUCCAUGGCCAUGUCCUGCGACGUCCUGACACGUCCUGACACAUGCCAUGGCCGUGUCCUGCGACGACCUAACACGUGCCAUAGACGUCAGAUGGUAGAUUAAAAAUAAUUAAAAUAAAAAAUAAAUAAAAAUAAAGUUCAAACACUAAUCCCCUUCCUCAAAUGGUGCGAUUGCUGUGAACAUCAACGACAGAAUUUUGUCAUAAUUUGUAGGUUAGGAUGCUUCAGGUAUAUAAAAGUUACUCUUUUCGGUUUCUGAAUCUUUCUUAGUGUUGAAAAAUACUAUUGCUGAUCUGGGUGUUUGAGGGAAAGAAGAAGAGGCUGUUGGUUAAGGAUUCGUAUUUUUAAGCCAAAGGGUGGAAUUUUGGAACAAUUGAAUAAGAUGAGGCAUCUAUGCCCCCCAAAAGGAUGAAGAAACAAUUAACGGGGAAACGUGAGGACACUGUCUUGCUUUCAUUGGCUAGAGCAGGAAAUCUUGUUUAAAUAAGAGAGAUUAUCGAUAACACGGGCAUAUUGGGAGCACAUCCUGAGCUUUGACUGUUGAUAAUGAAAAUACAACAGCUUUGCAUAGUGCAGCAAACCAAAGGCAUAUUGAGGUGGUGAAUUAUAUCUAUUAGAAGCAGAGAAAAGUUUGGCCACUAUUGUUAAAAGUAAUGGGAAAACAACACUUCAUUCUGCUGCCAGAAAUGGACAUUUGUCGAAGCAAAACUGAUAUUUAUCAUAUCGGUUCUGGUUCAAAUUGAGUGAUUCCAAGCAGCGGAGAUUGUUCUCCACUUCAAAUACCAUCGACUCACCAAGUUUCAGACAAUUUCAAUGCCGGAAUAGUCUCCUCCAACCAACUGAAUAUGGCCGGCGAACACCAGUUGGUCGAGCAUGGAGCUACAGGUGUCCAAAUUGAACAAGAUCAAUGCCAAUUGACUCCAACUGAGCAACUGAUUGAUGCCAAACGAUCAAACAACAACUACAAUGAAUCAAUCGUCACAACAAUUCAAAAAACAAAAUCUACAAAAUUACAGACACCAGGUGUUCGAUGAAAUACUAAACUCAGGGGAGGGGAGAAAGAAUUGGACAAAAAAUAUUGAAGAGAGAGAAAAAAAGAAUUGGACAGAAAAUGUUGGAGAGAGGGAGAAAAGCAAAGAAGAAAAGCUCACUUUUGUUCAACAAUGGAGGAUGAACAACCGGGAAGAUGAUGACAGCCAAAAAAUGGCUCUUGGUACCUUUUUAAUAGGCCUCAUGCUCCUUAAACGAGUGCAGCACACGCACUUUAGUAAAAAUUGCCACAUAGGAUGAGCGGGGUUUAAAAUGUUUAAUUUUUAAGGGUAAAAGAGUUUGGUUGACAAAUUGUUAAGUUUGGGGAUCGACAUAACAAAGUGGCACAAAUAUAAGUGUCAUUUAUCAGCAGUUUGAGUAUUGGGAAAUAUAAAGACACUUUAAUGACAGUAUAGAUCCACCAACUUAAAUCAACUGAUUCCUUCAAUUUGUCCUUGUUUU
This 2015-nucleotide long non-coding RNA is filed under the name Nicotiana tabacum (common tobacco). RNAcentral describes it as "long non-coding RNA (NTAB_LNC000109)". Lineage: Eukaryota; Viridiplantae; Streptophyta; Magnoliopsida; Solanales; Solanaceae. The record is from RNAcentral.